Molecule: RNA transcript, 3973 nt
Organism: Polypterus senegalus (gray bichir)
Lineage: Eukaryota; Metazoa; Chordata; Cladistia; Polypteriformes; Polypteridae
Gene name: butyrophilin-like protein 2
Exons: 4
Source: RefSeq, a predicted model, not a curated record
AUUACCAUGUGGUCACGUAGGCACAAUACAUAGAAAAAAAAGGCUGUGUACUCCGUGGUUACUCUCUCAGGUGGCUGUUAGCAUAUCACAAUCUCUUGCAACAAUAGCAUGAAUUUUCCGAAUUUGACUUAUACAAUGACAUUAUAAAACACCAGAUAUUAUACAGGAAAAUCAAGUCCUGAUUUAUCCGCAGGAGAACUUAUCUGCGAGUAUAUACGGUACAAUCACUUGUGACCUUGGUCUGUGGACUUCAUACAUGCCUGGCAGAUGAAACGAAAAAGAGAGUAACUACAAUAUAUAUAGUUAUAAAACUGAGUUCAACAAGAAAAUUGACAGCAAGGUCAGUUUGAGAAGACAGAGCCUCUUAGACUCAACAAUAACAUGACAAAUAAAAGCAGCACAUUAGCUAAAUCAGGAGUAUCAACCACACUGCUGCAUGUCAUAAAAUUCAAUUAUAAUCCCAAUAAUGUCAGAAGAUUUAAAGGGAUGGCUGAGAACUACAAUGGGGACCGGUACUGAAGUUGAAGGACAAAAAACAGACUGCCUAACCAAUUUAAAGUACUUAAGAGAGUACAGUAAUAUUACAGUUAAUGAAAUAGAUGCAAUUACAGACUUUAGUACCUUAUAAGAAACAUAUUGGAAAUAGAUGUACAAUAGAAGGAAUAAAUAUCAAAGGUAAUGUAAAGAUUGAUAAGCCUUCCAUGCCACUCUUUAUGCUCUCUUCUGUGUUGUUCCCCUGACUUCACAUUGACACCAAGAGCGCCUCCCCACUCUGCUCACUUCGUGUAAGAAGCAACACCAUUUGCCUCACUUUCCCCAGCUCAGUAAGCCGAACCAUGCCAUGAACUUUAAGUAUCCUAAAAGGCUGUCUAUCCAUGCACCCUCUUCCAUUCUCUGCACCAGUUUGUUUCAUAUCCUAACCCAGUGAUUCUGCUAUAUGGCAUUUCUUUUGUCCAGCUUCUACCCUCUUUAUAAUUAGCAUUUUAGCUCUAAAGAUACUGCCUUAUGUUUUUGUGACAUAAUGACCAAAUUAUUUUGUUACUAUUAAAAUAACUACAGUACACAUACAAUACCUAAGGAGUCACAUAGUAACUUCACAUUUUAUUUUAUAGAUUAAAUGCAGUUUGUUUUUUUUGGUCCGUCCUGGCCACUUGACUGUACCAUUAGACUCGCAUUUAGAGACUUAAAAAACAAUUGCAUAUAUAAGGACUUUCAAUUCUCUUUAUCUCUCUUAUUUAAGUGUGUAUUAUUUAUGUUUGCAUAAUAUUUAUGAAUUAUUAUUCUUAUCUAAUUGUAAUUUGUUUUUUUCUUUGCCUGUAACUUUGACAUCCUGUAAAGCACUUUGAGCUACAAUGUUGGCAUGAAAAUGUACCAUAGAAAUACAUGGUGUUGCUGUUGUUGUAAACUCUUCAGUGCCCUGUUUUAAGAUGUGCUGUGACUCCGUUUAUAUUGUGUUAACUUGUCAGAGGGUAAAAUGAAAAGUCUCAGUGCCCAAUAGUUAAAGAUUUAAUCCAACAACUGGAAGCAACAACAGGAAACAAUUAGUCCUUCAAAACUUUCCGUUUUUCUUAUCACUUUCUCUUUUACAUCUUCUCUAUCUCCACCUAAUGGGCCAAGUACAGAACAUAACAUAUUGUAAUAAAGAUCUUCAUCAGCAUCUUUUCUUAGUAUUUUGAUAGACACACUGGUGUGAACUCAAUCAUUUCUGUUUUGUUAUAACUUAGUCAAUUACAAUUUGCUUCUCUCUAAUUUCACCAUGUGUUAGAGCAACACCCCUUGUACAUAACAACAUCUUUGUUAAAAUAGUCAUGAUUUUUAUGUUAUGUGACAUAAAAGUUUAUACAUAGGCUUGAGAACAGAAAGAGUACGUUCUGUUUUAUGUGUUCUGUCUCUUUAAGACACAGGCGAAUCACAGGUGGGUUGCUGCCCGAUUAAAGUGAAAGAGAAAUCAUUUAGAAAAGACAAACACACAAGCUAACGACCUGCAGUCUGAAGGGUUUCUUUUUUACAGUAUUAUAAGGACUAGAAUUUUAAACACUGUGCAGAAGGCUCUUCACGUUGGUGGUAAGAUGUGAAAAUCUACAGUAGAUGGUGGAAUCCAACUAGAAGAUGUGAGAACAGGCUCAUGGACAUCACAGGCUGUAUUGAGCAGUUUUUCUUUUCCAGCUAUGAAUGCUCAUACUGAGUUCAGAUGCCUUAUUUUUUUUAUUUCUGCACAACAUACAUAUCUUCUGUGCAGUGAAGUUUUCCAUAAUUGGUCCAUCUGAGCCUAUUAUCACUUAUGUGGGUGAAGAUGUAAUCCUGCCUGCCUCUCACCAGCACUCAACGCGGAGAAAUUUCAAGUGAGAUGGUUUACGACUGAUUUUAAAUCACCAGUAAUUUUAUUUGAAAACUACCAAUAUUUAAAGCAGAUUGAAAGAGCAAAAAUGCUCUUCCAAGGGGAGAUGAAGUAUGGCAAUGUAUCCUUAAAAAUACAAAGUGUCCGUGUUUCUGACAAUGGUGUCUACAGAUGCUACGUGGAUUCUGGAAGGAUUGAUGAUGAGGUGCAGAUUACAUUGGUUGUAGUAGUUCAGCUCCUUCCUGUCUGGUUUUUGCACAUGGAGAUUGGUAAGAAAAAGAUUUGCACAUUUUGUAUUAGGCCACAAGUGGCAAACUACAGAACAACUAAACUGACUGAGAGCAGCCAGAAAUGAUAAUCAAAAAGUAUCAUAAGAGCAUGGAAUUAAUCACAUUAUUAUUAGACAAACUGAACCAUAAAUUUGAAAAUGUAAAAAGGAAUUCAGCUAAUGCAUUGACUGUAAAGAAGUACGGGUCGUCUUUUUUUCUUGGUGAUCAUGAGAUUAAACUCAUAACAGAUGCAAGAGAAUAUUAAAAAGGAUGAACUGUGGAGACAUUACCCAAAAGUGACAGCAGGUGUGCAAAACAACAAAAGAAGUAUGACAAGUGAAAGGAGAUCAUUUAGUCCAUCAGACUUGUUCAGUUAGCUAAUGGCUAAGUUGUCCCAAUAUCUCAUUCAGACAGCUUGUAAAAGUUGUCAAAAUCUCCACUUCAUCAUCCCGUGUUGGUAGUUAAAGAACCCCACAAACCUCUGUGUAAAGCAAUACUUCCUGAUGUCAGUCUUAACUGCACUUUUCCUUAUGGUGUCCAUUUCCCAACUGGUGCUUAAUGAAUGUGAUUCACUAUUUAGUUAAAAGAAUUCUGCUAGAUGAACAUCACUGAUCGCCUUCAGAAUUUUAAAGACCUCAAAAAGGACUGCACAUAGUAUUCUCUACUUGAGACUGAAGAGGUCUAUCUCCCUGAGACUGAAAGAGUUAGACAUGUCUUUUAGACCCAGGAUGCUCUUGGCUGCUCUUCUAUGUGUGUCGUGAAGUGCUGUUUUGUCUUGUGAGCAGAACUUCACAGAACAUUUCAGAUGUGGUCCCAUUAGUGUAACCUACAGUCUGAGCACAACAUGCCUUGUUUUUUACUGCCCAUUUUUAUAGUCUAACCAAACAUUCUGGCUGUCUUUUUAAGUACUUCUAAGUAUUGCCUGAUGAUGAGAAUACUGUUAAAUGAUUUCCGUUUGUUUUUCUGUUAUUUACCUUAUAUUUAAACUUAAAAUUCCCUUUCACCUCCAUGUUAAUGGACAUUUGGUGACGGGGAAAAAAAAUCAUUAUCAAGUUAAGUUCACAUUCUGAUUCUUUUGUGCUCAGCAGAGUAAUGGCAGUCAGAAGCAGAGAGAAAUGUUGGGAAACUACCCUGGUAAACCCCAUUUAACUGAAAGUUAAAUGAUAAAAAAUAAAGCAAAGAAUGAUAUAAACGAGGCACAAAAGAAAAGACACUGAUGCUAUGUCAGCCAAAUACCAGAUCCCCAUUUUUUGUUCUAUCAGUCAUAUCAUACUUGGAUCCUAAAUGGUUCUGAAUUGUUAGAAUUGAAUACUAACCCUCACCUAUUCUGUUUCUGUUCUCGGUACCCAAAUGUGGCAAUUGGUGC